GGUUAAGCGACUAAGCGUACACGGUGGAUGCCCUGGCAGUCAGAGGCGAUGAAGGACGUGCUAAUCUGCGAUAAGCGUCGGUAAGGUGAUAUGAACCGUUAUAACCGGCGAUUUCCGAAUGGGGAAACCCAGUGUGAUUCGUCACACUAUCAUUACGUGAAUACAUAGCGUAAUGAAGCGAACCGGGGGAACUGAAACAUCUAAGUACCCCGAGGAAAAGAAAUCAACCGAGAUUCCCCCAGUAGCGGCGAGCGAACGGGGAGCAGCCCAGAGUCUGAAUCAGCAUGUGUGGUAGUGGAACGGUCUGGAAAGUCCGACGGUACAGGGUGAUAGUCCCGUACACAAAAUCACACAUGUUGUGAACUCGAAGAGUAGGGCGGGACACGUGGUAUCCUGUCUGAAUAUGGGGGGACCAUCCUCCAAGGCUAAAUACUCCUGACUGACCGAUAGUGAACCAGUACCGUGAGGGAAAGGCGAAAAGAACCCCGGCGAGGGGAGUGAAAAAGAACCUGAAACCGUGUACGUACAAGCAGUGGGAGCCUCUUUAUGGGGUGACUGCGUACCUUUUGUAUAAUGGGUCAGCGACUUAUAUUCUGUAGCAAGGUUAACCGAAUAGGGGAGCCGAAGGGAAACCGAGUCUUAACUGGGCGUUAAGUUGCAGGGUAUAGACCCGAAACCCGGUGAUCUAGCCAUGGGCAGGUUGAAGGUUGGGUAACACUAACUGGAGGACCGAACCGACUAAUGUUGAAAAAUUAGCGGAUGACUUGUGGCUGGGGGUGAAAGGCCAAUCAAACCGGGAGAUAGCUGGUUCUCCCCGAAAGCU
This 823-nucleotide ribosomal RNA is filed under the name Citrobacter freundii. Its description in RNAcentral is "partial 23S ribosomal RNA". It matches the Rfam family "Bacterial large subunit ribosomal RNA", at positions 1 to 867 of the family's 2925-position model. Lineage: Bacteria; Pseudomonadati; Pseudomonadota; Gammaproteobacteria; Enterobacterales; Enterobacteriaceae. The record is from RNAcentral.